RNAcentral lists this long non-coding RNA (659 nucleotides) under Populus trichocarpa (black cottonwood). Its description in RNAcentral is "long non-coding RNA (PTRI_LNC001181)". Lineage: Eukaryota; Viridiplantae; Streptophyta; Magnoliopsida; Malpighiales; Salicaceae. The record is from RNAcentral.
AAUGAAGGAGGCUAUGAAAUCAUCAAGAAAGCAAUUGAAAAGCUUGGUCUGAGGCAUAAAGAACACAUUGCAGCUUAUGGAGAAGGGAAUGAGCGGAGACUCACCGGCCGACACGAAACGGCUGACAUUAAUACCUUCAAAUGGGUAAGAGGAAGAAGAAACAAUUUCCUUGUUGCCUGGUUUCUUUUUAUAAGAUGUCUAACAUUAAUUUCAUUACAUCUUGUCCGAUUGACAGGGUGUGGCUGAUCGUGGAGCUUCUAUUCGUGUUGGUCGCGACACAGAGAAAGAAGGAAAGGGGUAUUUUGAGGAUAGAAGGCCUGCUUCGAAUAUGGAUCCAUAUGUUGUUACUUCCAUGAUUGCAGAAACCACCAUCCUGUGGAAGCCAUGAGAACCUCAACAAGCCCCUCUUAGACAGAAUAGUGUCGGUGGUAUUCUUUGCAAGGGACCAUGGAAAGAUUUGUGUCAGUGGGAUGGUUGUCUGUCAAUUUGUUUGCCUUUGUAUUUGAGGCAGCAAGUGAGUUCAUUGCUUUGCUUGCUUGCCUUGUGAUUUAUAGGGCCUAGAAAGGGGUUAUAUAGGUUUUUGCUUUGAUGUAAUGCCGAUCACAUCUCGAGAUGUUAUCAGAUUUUAUCUAAUCUAAAUAAAACUCUUGCUGGUUGAU